CAGUAGCCACGGUAAUACAGAGGAUGCAAGCGUUAAUCGGAAUUACUGGGCGUAAAGCGCACGCAGGCGGUUUGUUAAGUCAGAUGUGAAAUCCCCGAGCUUAACUUGGGAACUGCAUUUGAAACUGGCAAGCUAGAGUCUUGUAGAGGGGGGUAGAAUUCCAGGUGUAGCGGUGAAAUGCGUAGAGAUCUGGAGGAAUACCGGUGGCGAAGGCGGCCCCCUGGACAAAGACUGACGCUCAGGUGCGAAAGCGUGGGGAGCAAACAGGAUUAGAUACCCCUGUAGUCCCUGUCUCUUAUAC
Molecule: ribosomal RNA, 301 nt
Filed under: uncultured bacterium
Lineage: Bacteria
Description: partial 16S ribosomal RNA
Rfam family: Bacterial small subunit ribosomal RNA
Source: RNAcentral